Molecule: long non-coding RNA, 212 nt
Filed under: Mytilus galloprovincialis (Mediterranean mussel)
Lineage: Eukaryota; Metazoa; Mollusca; Bivalvia; Mytilida; Mytilidae
Source: RNAcentral
GAACACAAACGUGUUUUGCUCAAGCAAAAUACAUACAGUUUAACAAAAUGACCAGACACGGAACAAAGUUUACCGAUGAUUAGGUCUUUUUAAUUUCGUUAAAAAGUCGAAUCGAUGUUUCAAACAAACUGUUAUAAUAUAUUGAUCAUAAAAGUGAACGCACGUUAACAAACCGUGAACAAAUUUUGGUAGUUAACUUCAAUGUUCUCGUU